CCCCCCUCUCUGAUCUUUUCUUUCUGCUGCAGGUAAAAGAGAGGCGGCUACUGAACUGUCAGUAAAGCCUGCGAGCCCUAAAUCAGAUGACUCUCUCGCAGUGAAUAUGGGCCUUGACACGCCGUUUUUAAACAAAGACGCAGUAUCACACUUGGACGCGAUGGAGGGGAAUGCAGCCAAUGGGACAUGAAAUAGUGUGGCGUCACUCCCUGCCAACGGCUGUGACGGGAGCAGCUACAGGCUCCCAGGAGCAGUGUAGGAUAGAGCCCUGCGCAGAUACUUCGGUGCCCCUAGACAGAUAUUUGAAAAAGAACAAAGGUCAAACGUCUCCCUGUACGCUCAGGUCAACUUCGAAAAAAUGUGGAUGUUCAAAGAAGCGGAAGAAAAUCUGCCCAGAGAAGCGUAAAUGUCAAGCAAGAUAAAAGACUAAAUAUAAAGUAUUCCUCACUUUUCUCACAAUGGAUCCCCC
Clupea harengus (Atlantic herring) is the source of this 469-nucleotide long non-coding RNA. Lineage: Eukaryota; Metazoa; Chordata; Actinopteri; Clupeiformes; Clupeidae. The record is from Ensembl.